RNAcentral lists this long non-coding RNA (462 nucleotides) under Carica papaya (papaya). Its description in RNAcentral is "long non-coding RNA (CPAP_LNC007023)". The record is from RNAcentral. Lineage: Eukaryota; Viridiplantae; Streptophyta; Magnoliopsida; Brassicales; Caricaceae.
CGCAAAGAUGGAAGACAUGUGUGGUGUGCGUAAACUACCUUUGGCACGUGAGUAACAAGCAUGGAGAUCCACCCAUGUAGGUUGGUAACUCGUACACGUGAAGUAACAUGCGAGAGUGUGGCUAGAACAACUCGCAUGCCCCACACGUGCACAAGACCCGAGCAGCAUGCGCACAGUCCCUCGCAUGUGCACAAACCUGGGGUUGCACGCUUUGUCCGUACGUGCACGACCCGCAUCUCAGGAUUCCCGCAAACGGCAGGCUCCCACUUAGUCGCCCUAUGCGGCGGGGCCCACAACUGGCCCAGUCAGCCUAAACACACAAGCUCGCAACCCCCGCAGCCUUGCUUUACACGACCUGAGCUUGUCGGUCGGCCCAAUCUGAUUGGGUGCCCCAAAACUUGCCCUCCCCUAUUUUUUUAAUUAUUUAUUUAAUUUAAAAAUUUUAAAAGGCUUUUGGGACCC